Molecule: ribosomal RNA, 253 nt
Filed under: uncultured bacterium
Lineage: Bacteria
Description: partial 16S ribosomal RNA
Rfam family: Bacterial small subunit ribosomal RNA
Source: RNAcentral
UACGUAGGAGGCAAGCGUUGUCCGGAAUCACUGGGUGUAAAGCGCGUGUAGGCGGCUGCUCAAGUCUGUCGUGAAAGCCGGCGGCUUAACCGCGGGUGGUCGAUGGAAACUGGGCGGCUGGAGGCCGGUAGAGGUGAGUGGAAUUCCCGGUGUAGUGGUGAAAUGCGUAGAGAUCGGGAGGAACACCCGUGGCGAAGGCGGCUCACUGGGCCGAGCCUGACGCUGAGACGCGAAGGCGUGGGGAGCGAACGGG